Molecule: non-coding RNA, 947 nt
Filed under: Synodus oculeus
Lineage: Eukaryota; Metazoa; Chordata; Actinopteri; Aulopiformes; Synodontidae
Description: partial 12S rRNA
Rfam family: Bacterial small subunit ribosomal RNA
Source: RNAcentral
CAAAAGCUUGGUCCUAACUUUUCUGUCAGCUUUUACUAAACUUACACAUGCAAGUCUCCGCAAACCUGUGAGGAUGCCCUUAACGUCCCCCUUCGGACACUAGGAGCUGGCAUCAGGCACACAACUGUUCUGCCCAAGACGCCUUGCUUAGCCACACCCCCAAGGGAAUUCAGCAGUGAUAGACCUUAAACAAUGGGCGAAAGCCUGAAUUAGAGAAAGUAAAGAGGGCCGGUUAAACUCGUGCCAGCCGCCGCGGUUAUACGAGAGGCCCAAGUCGACAGAUUUCGGCGUAAAGGGUGGUUAGGAGAAAUACAACCUAGAGAAAAACGCUCUUCAAGCUGUUAUACGCCCCAAGAGUAAGAAGCCCCCACGCGAAAGCAACUCUAUAAGCAAUCUGAACCCACGACAGCUCUGACACAAACUGGGAUUAGAUACCCCACUAUGCCGAGCUUUAAACUUAGAUAUCUCACUACAAUAUUUAUCCGCCAGGGCACUACGAGCAACAGCUUAAAACCCAAAGGACUUGGCGGUGCUUCAGACCCCCCUAGAGGAGCCUGUUCUAGAACCGAUAAUCCCCGUUCAACCUCACCGCCCCUUGCCUUAUAAACCGCCUAUAUACCGCCGUCGUCAGCCUACCCUCUGAAAGAAAAGAAGUAAGCAAAACAGUUAAAAACAAAUACGUCAGGUCGAGGUGUAGCGUAUGAGGCGGGAAGAAAUGGGCUACAUUUUCUGACUCAGAAAAUCACGGAAGGGAUAGUGAAACUUAACCCCAAAGGCGGAUUUAGCAGUAAGCUGAAAUAGAACAUUUAGCUGAAAUCGGCUCUGAAGCGCGCACACACCGCCCGUCACUCUCCCCAAAACAUAUACCCUUAUAUAUAAUACAAUGAAUAACAAAGGGGAGGCAAGUCGUAACAUGGUAAGUGUACCGGAAGGUGCACUUGGACAAC